UACGGAGGGUGCAAGCGUUGUUCGGAAUUACUGGGCGUAAAGAGUGCGUAGGCGGUUCGGUAAGUUGGAAGUGAAAUCCCGGGGCUCAACCUCGGAAUUGCUUUCAAAACUGCUGAUCUAGAGUAUGGUAGGGGAUAGUGGAAUUCCUAGUGUAGGGGUGAAAUCCGUAGAUAUUAGGAGGAACACCAGAGGCGAAGGCGACUAUCUGGGCCAUUACUGACGCUAAGGUACGAAAGCGUGGGGAGCAAACAGG
This 253-nucleotide ribosomal RNA is filed under the name uncultured bacterium. RNAcentral's name for it is "partial 16S ribosomal RNA". It matches the Rfam family "Bacterial small subunit ribosomal RNA", at positions 524 to 776 of the family's 1533-position model. The record is from RNAcentral.